UUUCCGUAGGUGAACCUGCGGAAGGAUCAUUAAUGUGUUUGGGCCUCACGGCUCUUCAUUCCGACGCUGUGCGCCUUCGGGCUGCACGCUGAGGGAGCAUAUAUCCGCCCCUGUGCACACACACGGUGGCGAGCUGGGUAACGGCUCGCCGCUGAUCUUUACACACGUCUAAAAGUCAUUGUAUGUUUAUUUGAGAUAAAAACACAACUUUCAGCAACGGAUCUCUUGGCUCUC
RNAcentral lists this unclassified non-coding RNA (234 nucleotides) under plant metagenome. Its description in RNAcentral is "partial contains small subunit ribosomal RNA, internal transcribed spacer 1, and 5.8S ribosomal RNA". The record is from RNAcentral.